AGGAUGAACGCUGGCGGUAUGCUUAACACAUGCAAGUCGAACGGUCUCUUCGGAGAUAGUGGCGGACGGGUGAGUAACGCGUGAGAAUCUACCUUCAGGUCUGGGACAACAGUUGGAAACGGCUGCUAAUACCGGAUGUGCCCUUGGGUGAAAGACUUGUUACCUGAAGAAGAGCUCGCGUCAGAUUAGCUAGAUGGUGGGGUAAGAGCCUACCAUGGCGACGAUCUGUAGCUGGUCUGAGAGGACGAUCAGCCACACUGGAACUGAGACACGGUCCAGACUCCUACGGGAGGCAGCAGUGGGGAAUUUUCCGCAAUGGGCGAAAGCCUGACGGAGCAAUACCGCGUGAGGGAGGAAGGCUCUUGGGUUGUAAACCUCUUUUCUCUGGGAAGAUAAUGACGGUACCAGAGGAAUAAGCAUCGGCUAACUCCGUGCCAGCAGCCGCGGUAAUACGGAGGAUGCAAGCGUUAUCCGGAAUGAUUGGGCGUAAAGCGUCCGCAGGUGGUUUUGAAAGUCUGCUGUUAAAGCGUCAGGCUCAACCUGAUAAGGGCAGUGGAAACUAUAAGACUAGAGUGCGUUAGGGGCAGAGGGAAUUCCCAGUGUAGCGGUGAAAUGCGUAGAGAUUGGGAAGAACACCGGUGGCGAAGGCGCUCUGCUAUACCGUAACUGACACUGAGGGACGAAAGCUAGGGGAGCGAAUGGGAUUAGAUACCCCAGUAGUCCUAGCCGUAAACGAUGGAUACUAGGCGUUGUCUGUAUCGACCCGGACAGUGCCGUAGCUAACGCGUUAAGUAUCCCGCCU
RNAcentral lists this ribosomal RNA (802 nucleotides) under uncultured bacterium. RNAcentral describes it as "bacterial SSU rRNA". It matches the Rfam family "Bacterial small subunit ribosomal RNA", at positions 26 to 874 of the family's 1533-position model. The record is from RNAcentral.